AAUCCAUGAUGUGGGAAGUCUCUGAGCAUUCCCUUAAAUCUAUCCCAAGCUUCAUAGAGAGAUUCAGAGUCUAUUUGCUUGAGACUUGCAAUGAGUUUACAGAGGUG
Zingiber officinale is the source of this 107-nucleotide small nucleolar RNA. NCBI's taxonomy places the organism in Eukaryota, Viridiplantae, Streptophyta, Magnoliopsida, Zingiberales, Zingiberaceae. The record is from RefSeq and is a predicted model, not a curated record.